GAAACAGUUCUUGUGGAAACUACCAGAUGAAGUGGUGAAUUGGCAGGUGUCGUUUGGAUCACUGGGGUGUCGCCGAGGGGCUUGUUAAACAACAAGCCAAAACAACAAAAACAACAACAGCAACACCAAUAUGUUUGGUAAAAAGAAGAGAGCACCACAGCCCAAAGGCCAGGGCGCUGCUGCAGCCAAGCAGAUGGGUCUGUUUGUAGACCUGGACCCUGAGGAGAUGAUGAUGGGUAUGGAAGAGAAUCUGGAUGACCCGGACUUAGAGGCUGAACUUGCUGCUAUAACUGGAAAUAAACCUGCUGCUAGAGGGAGAGCCAAGCAGAAGGGGAAGAGCCCUUUGCCCAUGGAGGACAUUGCUAAAAUGGCUGAUGAGUGUAUGAGGGAUGUUGAUGAGGAUGAAGAUGAGGAUGAUGUGGAAGACGACGAAGAUCUGUUGGCAGAGCUACAGGAAGUGGUGGGUGAGGGGGAAGCUGAGGAUGUUGCAACUGUUUCCUCCACAUCUUCUGCUGCUGUUGAAUUUUCUCAAGUUGAGAAGCAGGAAGUAAUGAUCUCCUCAGCGGCUCCUGGCAGCCUCCAGCACACCCUGGAGGAGAGGGUGGCCAUGUACAAGACGGCCUUACAAAAUGCCAAGAGUGCAGGGGAGACUUCCAAAGCCAGGAGAUUCGAUCGAGGUUUGAAGACUUUGGAGACGAUGUUAGCUGCUGUGAAAAAGGGGAGGCCUGUGAACGAGGCAGAAAUCCCUCCUCCUGUCGCCACUGGAGCCUCCGCCCCUCGGCCCGCUGUUCCUGCACGACCUGCUCCCCCUGUACCCUCGCGUCCUGAAUCCACUCCCUCAGAUCAGCAGGAGGAGUCAGAGGCCACAACAUCAACGCCUUCAGUACCAGAGAUCGUCACGCCCACCAGUGAAGAGGAGCAGUCGUCAUCCACCACUGCACCCGGUCUGAGCAGCGUCCCAUCUCCAGAGGAGCAGAGAGAGGAACCUGCCGACCUGCUGCAGACCACUCAGACGGAUGCCAACGAGGCAACCAAGACGAUGCUUUUGGAGAGGCAGAAAGAAUACAAGAUGGCGGCUCUGAGAGCCAAGAAGCAGGGAGAUGUGGAGCAAGCUAAACUUUACUUCAAGACCAGCAAGAGGUUCGACGCAGUGAUUGAGGCGUUGGAGAAAGGACAAGCAGUCGACCUGAGUGGCCUUCCUCCAUCUCCAGGACAGGGUUCAGGAGGAAGCUCUGCUCCAGUGAAGCAACUUUCUUCUGGGCAAAACACACAGGUCACCCAACCGGUUGCAGCAGUUCCAGCCCCUGCAGCCCCAUCAGCCCCUGCAGCUCCCAAAGACGUACUGGAGGCUCUCGAGCAGAGACGGGCAAAGUAUGUGGAGGCGUCGGCUCAGGCUAAAGCCAGCGGAGACGACCGCAAGGCACGAAUGCACGACCGCAUUGCUAAGCAAUACCAGAGCGCCAUCCGAGCUCACAAAGCAGGAAAAGCAGUCGACUUUGAUGAGCUGCCAGUUCCCCCUGGCUUUCCUCCAAUCCCUGGCCACAAGGCAACAGGAGCUGAGCAGGGAUUCGUUGCUGCUCUGGAGGCAGCCAAUAAACUCGCCUCUGCUGAUGCUGCUGGAGCACCAGAUGAAGAAGAUGAUGAGGAGAAAGAAGAGGAGUCGAAGCCUGCUGUUCCAGAAGAGCCAAAGAAGGUCACGUUAGACGUCUCCACUGCAGGUCAAGGACGGAAAAGGACUCCUUCAGCUUCACCUGAAAGAUCAGCUGCUAGGGAUGGACUCUCGCCAACAGCUGUUCAGCAGCUGGAGUUCCUGGAGGGUCGGAAGAAGCAGUACAUGAAGGCGGCGCUGCAGGCGAAGCAGAAGAACGACAUGGAGCAGGCCAAGGUUUUCCUCCGCACCGCCAAAGGCUUCGACCCGAUGAUUGAGGCAGCGCGCAGCGGGAAAUCUGUGGACAUCAGCACGGUGCCGUCGCCCCCUGGUGACGAAGACGACGACUUCAUCCUGGUUCAUCACAGCGACGUUCAGAUCUCGGAGAAAGCUGAGCAGGUUUACACACAACUGGCCAAGAUCCUCAAAGAGCAGUAUGAGAAAUGUAUGACUCACUCCAAGCAAUUCACACACCUGGGGAACGUCUCCGAAACUACAAAGUUUGAGAAGAUGGCGGAGAGCUGUAAGAAGAGUCUGGAGGUCCUGAAGCUGGCUCAGUCGAGGGGUCUGCCUCCUCCUAAACAUCACUUUGAAGAGAGAUCGUUUCACACUGUCAGGAUAUUUCCAGAGCUGAGCAGUACUGACAUGGUUGUUGUUAUCGUAAAAGGGAUGAAUCUUCCUGCACCAAGUGGAAUCCAAACAAACGAUCUGGAUGCUUAUGUCAAGUUUGACUUCCCCUACCCCAGCACUGAGCAGCCUCAGAAACACAAAACAGCUGUCAUCAAGAACACUAACUCCCCGGAAUACAACCAGAGCUUCACGCUGUCAAUCAACCGCAACCACCGCGGCUUCAGGAGGGUGGUGACGUCUAAAGGCCUCAAACUGGAGCUGCUGCACAAAGGAGGUUUCCUGCGGAGCGACAAGCCGAUUGGGACGGCCCUCGUGAAGCUGGACAAACUGGAGUCACAGAGUGAAAUCAGGGAAAUCGUAGAGGUGAUGGAUGGUCGUAAGCCCACAGGAGGUCGUGUUGAAGUGAAGAUCCGACUGCGGGAGCCUCUGAGCGGUCAGGACACGCAGACGAGCACCGAGCGCUGGCUGGUGAUCGACCAGUCGCAGGUUCUUCUGUAGAUGAAGAUUAAAGACAACUGACAAGAUACAGAUAAAAGGCACUCAAUCAAAAACACUCAGAGGAGGAAGAGGAAGGCGUUUCAGAUCUGAUGAGGACGGUCUGCGGUUCAGAUUGGACUCAGACCUACACGGGUCUUUGACUUUCUAAAACUUUUGCACAUUUGCAAGACACACGAGCUCCCUUUCACACGGCGGUCCACCAGGAGGAGACAGGGAGCUGGUUUACGUGUGAAAACAUCAGGCAGACGCAGCACCCUCACAGAUGUGUUACAGGAGUAAGCCAAGAAAUCAAGCUACUAUACAAGGUACGAUUAUAGAAUUAUUUUAAAGACCACACUCCCUUUUUUGGCACCUUUCACUUUGAUAAAUCUUUAAACUGUUCUCUUAUUUAUCUGUGGCUUUAGGUGUGUUAGAUUUUCUUUGGUCUUGUCUUGUUUACACUGAGCAUCACAAAUCUGAGCGAAGUUUGUGAGAAGUUUCAGUCUAAGAGAGAAAGCUAUUUAUUUUAUCUUAAGACAGAUUCAUUAUUUAACAGAUGAUUAUGUUAAAAAAAGUCAUUUCUAAGUACACACCAUCUACUCGACCAUAAUAUCAUCCUUUUGGGAAAUUCACUUAAUUCAUUUGAUGAGCAUAUGAAGCUGGAGUCAGAAAACAAUUAGCUUAGCUUAGCAUAAAGUUCAAAAGCACACCCACCAACACCUCUGAUGCUCACUGACUGACACGUUAAAUUUAAUAUAUUAAAUCUGUACAGACUGAGCAGGUGAGCGAAAAAAAUUUUAAACGUGUGGAACCAUCUUUGAAAACUAUGCAUCAGUUCUGUAUCUUGGGAUUAAUCCCUCUGUGCUUUAAAGGGUCAGUUCACCCAAAUUACAAAACGAAAUUUAACGAAUGGUUUGUCACACAUUACAAUGUAGUUAAAAAUAGUGGUGUAUUUGUCAACAACUAACCUCUUCUGUAUGCAUCCAGAAGUGGAGGCAAUAAAAUGACAAUAUAGUAAAACAGUUAUUAUAUUUUUUAAAAAGUAUCAUAGAAGACUGCACAGUAGAAUCUAGCCUCUUCCAAUCACGUUAAUAACGUAGUUUGUCAUUUAUUUUCGGACCAAUGACCAGACGAGCACGACACUGGCACUAAUAGAAACUACGGCACUUAACCCAUUUUUUUCCGAACAUAAGUUAAAGUAAAAAACAACACAGUGAAAAUAUAAAUUCUACUUUAUCAUUCAGUGAGUGUUAAUUAAAUAAAUCACUGUUGUUUCACAUUCACAGUGCACUUAACGUUACCUGUAGGUAACCUGCUACAGGUCACAGGAUACAGUGUAACACUGGUGGAGGGCUGAGGCCGAGCACUCGUCUGUUUUACGUUUUCAAACUGCCUCAACUUCUUACUUCAACACAGUGGAUGAACAUUUAAAGUGAAAGAUCCGAUAAGGGAUCCAAAAUGUUACCUGCUGCUAGAACUCAUCCCUCGCUUUAGCCUCUUUCAGCUUAUCGUUUUGGUACCUACACCAAACAGCAGACACGUUCAGAGACGAGCUGGUGAACAUAGUAGUUUAGCAGCUAAAGAAAUAUCAGAUAUUUCCACCAGGAGUUGGUAGACACCAAAAAUAGAGCUAAAAGAGAGAACAUAAAUUUGUCAGAAACAUUUGGCCCCAAACUGGCCAAAUAAAAUGUAUUAAUAAAGCUGUAAGUGAGAAAAUUGAGACAAGAUGUGAUUUUUAAAUAGUAAUUUGAGUGAACUGACCCUUUAAAGUUUCAACUACAGCAUUGUAACAAAUGCUGACAAAAGAAGCCAUAAACAUACUGAGCCAACUACAUGAAUCCCAUUUCCAACAGGUUUACCUCAACUCUGUCUGCAACAUGAUUUAGUUGCCAAACGUUAAAGUGGUCACAACAUUUCGUUUCUCUUCUUUGUUGUUUUUAUUCUGUGCAGCACUAUUUUAGGAAAACAUCAUGAAUCAGUGCAACUGACAACUGACAUUAAGUUAACUAGAAACAUUGUCCUAACUAAUUAAAGCACAUUGUCACCAAUCAUUUUACUUUGUGUUGUAAUAUCUGGAUCACCUUCGUGUUUACAAAGAUCAAUGAUGUCGCGUUGUAUAGAUUUCCAGAAACGAUACGAAACAAUCUCUGAAACAGAAACGAGAACUUAUUUUGUUUUUAAUUAUGGACUGAAUUUCUCCUGCUUAAAAUGUUCCAUUAAAAAAUACCUUGUUUUAGUUUUGCACUGAAGUAUUUUCUAAUACUUGUUGCUUUCUUUGAGUAAAAAAAUCUGAUUUAGAAAAAAAAUAACCACUCAUUUCAAUUUUCUAUAAGUUUUUAUUUUACAUAUACUACAGUUUUUUUGUUUCAUAAAGACCACUUUUCUUGACAUUUGUAGUGUAAAGAAAGAAAAACAUGUACAGGGUUUUUGGCUUUUCAAACAUUUUUGACCAAUGUUUGUUUAAAAAAAAAAAAAAAAAAAUUUUAACAAAACCCAGACAAUGAAAACUGAAAGAGUGGGUUGUUUUCUACGUUUCAUCCACAAACUAGAGGAUACAACUGUUAAAAUGCAAAGUUGAUUUGCUCUCUUCACUGUUUUCAAGCUCGUUUCUGUUUGCAUGCAGUGUUAUAGGUUUGGAUAGUAACAUCUUACAACUGAAGACAAAAAAAUAAAUGCUACUUUCAGUCAGACAAAUUGCACCUUUUUUUGGAUUUAGGACAUAUUGCACACGUCAGAUAAUGCCAAAAAUAACAAUUAACAUAAAACAGGGAGUCUGAGAAAAUAAAUCCUUGAAGUCUCCUCUUCAUUUAUGCUAAUUUUUUUUU
Molecule: RNA transcript, 5580 nt
Organism: Seriola dumerili (greater amberjack)
Lineage: Eukaryota; Metazoa; Chordata; Actinopteri; Carangiformes; Carangidae
Gene: cc2d1b
Gene name: coiled-coil and C2 domain containing 1B
Exons: 27
Source: RefSeq, a predicted model, not a curated record